Larimichthys crocea (large yellow croaker) is the source of this 1021-nucleotide long non-coding RNA. RefSeq lists it as uncharacterized. The transcript is spliced from 2 exons. The record is from RefSeq and is a predicted model, not a curated record. Lineage: Eukaryota; Metazoa; Chordata; Actinopteri; Sciaenidae.
UUGACUGUGGCAGAGCAAUGUUGAGCUGCACAUUUCAAACCUGAAUAUAACAAGAAAAAUCUACACUGCAUAAUACACUGUGAACCUCUUCAACUCUGGAUUUUCAUCUUAUAUUCACAUCAUGUUUUUGUUUAAAUAAAUGUUAAUACAAAUACAUAAAUAAAAUAAAAAUAAAUAAAUCAUCUCUUUUUCAACGGUCAGACUAUAACAAAUAUAUUCAGUAUUUUAUUUUUCCAACAUUUUGAUGAAGCUAUAUGACAAUUAUACUGAAUGAAUAGUUUAAACUGAACAUGCUUUGAUUUUAUGACUUCAAAGAAAUAUUGUUGAUAUCUUUUGUUCACAUUUCCCCAGAAUUCAUCCUGACAUAUGUGUCAUCUUUGUAAACUUUGGGAUCUUGAGUAUUAAUUUCUGUCAUUAAUAUUAAUGAGAGCUCCUUGUCACUUUUUGUAUUUGACAGUUGUGAACCUGCAUCCUGUUUGGUUCAGGUGUUUGGAGUUUCUACUUUCUAAACCUUCUUCAGCUCUGAACAGAUUAUUAAACAUUGAAUGAUUUCAAGCAGGAACAUUGUCUUCUAAAGUUACAUCAUUUAUUCUUCAUUCAGUUUGAGGAGCUGCAGGUUGUCAAAGACCAGCUGUGCUUCUCUGGCCUCAGCUCUGAAGUCCAACCCCUCCCAUCUGAAAGAGCUGGACCUGAGAGGAAACGACCUGAAGGAUUCAGAAGUGAAGCCUCUGUCUAAUAUUGAGAAGAGACCACACUGCAGUCUGCAGGCUCUGAGGUGGAAGUGGUGAGAAAGGUGUUUGUGUUGAGAGAGGAUCAGCUGAGUCCUGAUGAUCCAGAGAGGUUGAAGCAGCAGCAUCAGCUCCAGGUGGUGCUGCUACAUCAACAAUCAAAUGACACUCAAACAUACAACAGUGUGUUUGAGUGUCAUCUGUACUCAGAGACGUCACACAGGGAGACAAGAUGGGUUCAAACCUGUGACAUGGACACCACUAAAACACAUCAAUAUAAAUAUCAAAGGUCA